RNAcentral lists this long non-coding RNA (641 nucleotides) under Vigna radiata. RNAcentral describes it as "long non-coding RNA (VRAD_LNC002194)". The record is from RNAcentral. Lineage: Eukaryota; Viridiplantae; Streptophyta; Magnoliopsida; Fabales; Fabaceae.
GGUCUUACCGAUUUUACUACUUGCACGACUUGGUACACUUGCCAAAGUCUCAACAAGGUUCUAAAUCGUCAUUCAUGUACUUGUUUUUUUUGUAAUAAUAUAUAUGUUUAAUGUUAUUUGGGCUGAAUGUCAUUGGGUGAAAUCACCAUAUUGUUAUCUUUUUUGCCAAAUAUUGUAAAUGAUUACAACACCCUUUUUCAAUGCACUUGAUUCAGGAUUUCAUCCAACUACUUUUAGUGAACACAAGACCUUCCUCAAUGGAAUUAGGAGUCUCCAAAAUCAAGUCUCAACCCCCAACACACAACUUAAAACCAAAAUCAUCAAAAACCAAUCCAAAGUUUGCCAAAAAGUUAAAAUUUUAUAAGGUGGUCCCCUGUGUACAAAAAAGUGGUCCCUUGUGAAGGACUUUCUCUACAAAUUCAACAAAACAUUCGCGUAAACGUUUACCACCUAUUGGUAAACGAUUACAACACCCUUUUUCAAUGCACUUGACUUAUGAUUUCAUCCAACUACUUUUUUGUGAACACAAGACAUUCCUCAAUGGAAUUUGGGGUCCCCAAAAUCAACUCUCCACCCAAAAACACAACUUAAAACCAAAAAAAUCAAAAACCCAUGCAAAGUUUGCCAAAAAGUUGAAAUUU